GAUGAAGAACGCAGCGAAAUGCGAUAAGUAAUGUGAAUUGCAGAAUUCAGUGAAUCAUCGAAUCUUUGAACGCACAUUGCGCCCAUUAGUAUUCUAGUGGGCAUGCCUGUUCGAGCGUCAUUUCAACCCUUAAGCCUAGCUUAGUAUUGGGAAUCGACUUUACUGUCGUUCCUCAAAUUCAACGGCGGAUUUAUAGCAAUCUCUGAACGUAGUAAUUUUUUUCCUCGUUUUUGAAGUACUAUAAACCUCAGCCGCUAAACCCCCAAUUUUUCUAUGGUUGACCUCGGAUCAGGUAGGAAUACCCGCUGAACUUAAGCAUAUCAAUAAGCGGAGGA
This 335-nucleotide unclassified non-coding RNA is filed under the name soil metagenome. RNAcentral's name for it is "partial contains 5.8S ribosomal RNA, internal transcribed spacer 2, and large subunit ribosomal RNA". The stretch from base 1 to 120 matches the Rfam family "5.8S ribosomal RNA", at positions 35 to 154 of the family's 154-position model. The record is from RNAcentral.